Molecule: ribosomal RNA, 786 nt
Filed under: uncultured bacterium
Lineage: Bacteria
Description: bacterial SSU rRNA
Rfam family: Bacterial small subunit ribosomal RNA
Source: RNAcentral
AGAGUUUGAUCAUGGCUCAGAUUGAACGCUGGCGGCAUGCUUUACACAUGCAAGUCGCACGGGAUAGGGGCAACUCUAUUUAGUGGCGAACGGGUGAGUAAUACAUCGGAACGUACCCUGUAGUGGGGGAUAACUAGUCGAAAGAUUAGCUAAUACCGCAUAUUCUCUGAGGAGGAAAGCGGGGGACCGCAAGGCCUCGCGCUAUAGGAGCGGCCGAUGUCCGAUUAGCUUGUUGGUGAGGUAAAGGCUCACCAAGGCUGCGAUCGGUAGCUGGUUUGAGAGAAUGAUCAGCCACACUGGGACUGAGACACGGCCCAGACUCCUACGGGAGGCAGCAGUGGGGAAUUUUGGACAAUGGGGGCAACCCUGAUCCAGCCAUGCCGCGUGAGUGAAGAAGGCCUUCGGGUUGUAAAGCUCUUUCGGUCGGAGAGAAAGCCUGCCCAUGAAUAGUGGGUGGGGUUGACGGUACCGGCAGAAGAAGCACCGGCUAACUACGUGCCAGCAGCCGCGGUAAUACGUAGGGUGCGAGCGUUAAUCGGAAUUACUGGGCGUAAAGCGUGCGCAGGCGGUUUGCUAAGCUUGAUGUGAAAGCCCCGGGCUUAACCUGGGAAUGGCAUUGAGGACUGGCAGGCUAGAGUGUGGCAGAGGGGGGUGGAAUUCCACGUGUAGCGUGAAAUGCGUAGAGAUGUGGAGGAACACCGAUGGCGAAGGCAGCCCCCUGGGCUAACACUGACGCUCAGGCACGAAAGCGUGGGGAGCAAACAGGAUUAGAUACCCUAGUAGUCC